CGACAGAUAGAUACCCGGUAGUCACGCUAAAGAUGAGUGUAAGUGUUAGAGGGUUUCCGCCCUUAGUGCGCAGCAAGCAUAAGCACUCGCUGGGGAGUCGGCGCAAGGUGAAACUCAAAGGAAUGACGGGGGCCGCCAAGCGGUGGAGCAUGUGGUUUAAUUGAAGCAACGCGAAGAACCUACCAGGUCUUGACAUUCCUGACAACCCUAGAGAUAGGGCGUUCCCUUGGGGGACAGGAUGACAGGUGGUGCAUGGUUGUCGUCAGCUCGUGUCGUGAGAUGUUGGGUUAAGUCCCGCAACGAGCGCAACCCUUGAUCUUAGUUGCCAGCAUUCAGUUGGGCACUCUAAGGUGACUGCCGGUGACAAACCGGAGGAAGGUGGGGAUGACGUCAAAUCAUCAUGCCCCUUAUGACCUGGGCUACACACGUGCUACAAUGGAUGGUACAAAGGGCUGCGAGACCGCGAGGUUAAGCGAAUCCCAUAAAACCAUUCUCAGUUCGGAUUGCAGGCUGCAACUCGCCUGCAGAAGCCGGAAUCGCUGUCGGCAGCAGCGGU
This 556-nucleotide ribosomal RNA is filed under the name Cytobacillus oceanisediminis. Its description in RNAcentral is "bacterial SSU rRNA". It matches the Rfam family "Bacterial small subunit ribosomal RNA", at positions 770 to 1359 of the family's 1533-position model. Lineage: Bacteria; Bacillati; Bacillota; Bacilli; Caryophanales; Bacillaceae. The record is from RNAcentral.